Molecule: ribosomal RNA, 435 nt
Filed under: uncultured archaeon
Lineage: Archaea
Description: bacterial SSU rRNA
Rfam family: Archaeal small subunit ribosomal RNA
Source: RNAcentral
UACCAGCUCCCUGAGUGGUAAGGACGAUUAUUUGGCCUAAAGCGUCCGUAGCCGGCUUAUCAAGUCUCUUGUUAAACCCAAUGAUUCAAUCAUUGAUCUGCAAGAGAUACUGCUAUGCUAGAGGACGGGAGAGGUCGACGGUAGUCCAGGGGUAGGGGUGAAAUCCUAUAAUCCUUGGAGGACCACCAGUGGCGAAGGCGGUCGACUAGAACGUGCCUGACGGUGAGGGACGAAAGCUGGGGGGAGCGGAACCGGAUUAGAUACCCGGGUAGUCCCAGCUGUAAACGAUGCGGGCUAGGUGUUGGGGUAGCUACGAGCUACUCCAGUGCCGCAGAGAAGUUGCUAAGCCCCGCGCCUGGGGAGUACGGCCGCAAGGCUAGAAAACCUUAAAGGAAUUGGCGGGGGAGCACCACGAAGGGGUGAAGGCUGCGGUUU